AGUUAGGUCGUAUAAGAUAUUGCAUCAAGUUAAAGAUAGAUGUCUAAGAUAUGCAAUUAUUGACACAAGAAGAAUAUAUUUUACCAAAAAACUAAGAGUGCAUAGUUUACAGUGCGAAAUGCUCACUAAAUAUGGACAAGGUGUCCAGAACAAGAUACAAGAACUCUUGCUACCCCUGGCAGUCAUUAAAGAUAGAAUUAGGGCCAAAUAUGUAAAAAAGUUAAAGUGGAUAUUUCAUAAGCAGUGUAAGAAGGAGAAGAAACCUUCUUUAGAGCUCCAAGAUGUUGUAGUAGUGGUAGGGGACAUUACAGUACCUAAACCAGUAGAAGAGCUGCUCCUUAAGGGCCUGAUGGCCAUUCCUAAAGCAAAGCCCUGCUUCUCUAAGAUGGCACCAUAUAU
RNAcentral lists this long non-coding RNA (399 nucleotides) under Androctonus crassicauda. Lineage: Eukaryota; Metazoa; Arthropoda; Arachnida; Scorpiones; Buthidae. The record is from RNAcentral.